AUACGGAGGAUGCGAGCGUUAUCCGGAUUUAUUGGGUUUAAAGGGUGCGUAGGCUGUGCGUUAAGUCAGGGGUGAAAUGCCGUCGCUCAACGACGGAGCUGCCCUUGAUACUGGCGUGCUGGAGUACGGAUGCCGUUGGAGGAAUGAGUGGUGUCGGGGUGAAAUGCUUCGAUAUCACUCAGAACACCGAUUGCGAAGGCAUCUGACGAAUCCGUCACUGACGCUGAGGCACGAAAGCGUGGGGAUAGAACAGGAUUAGAUACCCUGGUAUUCCACGCCGUAAACGAUGAUGACUAACCGUCGGCGAUAGACAGCCGGUGGCCAAGCGAAAGCGAUAAGUCAUCCACCUGGGGAGUACGGCGGCAACGAUGAAACUCAAAUGAAUUGACGGGG
This 393-nucleotide ribosomal RNA is filed under the name uncultured bacterium. RNAcentral describes it as "partial 16S ribosomal RNA". It matches the Rfam family "Bacterial small subunit ribosomal RNA", at positions 523 to 918 of the family's 1533-position model. The record is from RNAcentral.